AUGAGAUUUCCCAACUUCGGUUAUAAGAUCCCUCAAAGAUGAUGAGGUUAAUAGGUUCGAGGUGGAAGCAUGGUGACAUGUGGAGCUGACGAAUACUAAUCGAUCGAAGACUUAAUCAA
RNAcentral lists this ribosomal RNA (119 nucleotides) under Staphylococcus aureus. Its description in RNAcentral is "partial 23S ribosomal RNA". It matches the Rfam family "Bacterial large subunit ribosomal RNA", at positions 2804 to 2925 of the family's 2925-position model. Lineage: Bacteria; Bacillati; Bacillota; Bacilli; Caryophanales; Staphylococcaceae. The record is from RNAcentral.